GAAGAAACAUGAACUUAACCACACAUGGAGUCACAACUCAUGAAAUGAGCUCUUCCACUAAUAAAGUCACUGCUCAUGUCAAUUCCACCACAGUCGAAUCACA
Long non-coding RNA from Scleropages formosus (Asian bonytongue), 103 nucleotides. RefSeq lists it as uncharacterized. The transcript is spliced from 3 exons. Lineage: Eukaryota; Metazoa; Chordata; Actinopteri; Osteoglossiformes; Osteoglossidae. The record is from RefSeq and is a predicted model, not a curated record.